This 387-nucleotide ribosomal RNA is filed under the name uncultured bacterium. Its description in RNAcentral is "bacterial SSU rRNA". It matches the Rfam family "Bacterial small subunit ribosomal RNA", at positions 28 to 417 of the family's 1533-position model. The record is from RNAcentral.
GAUGAACGCUGGCGGCGUGCUUAACACAUGCAAGUCGAGCGGUAAGGCCCUUUCGGGGGUACACGAGCGGCGAACGGGUGAGUAACACGUGGGUGACCUGCCCUUAGCUCUGGGAUAAGCCUGGGAAACUGGGUCUAAUACCGGAUAUGACUCCAUGACGCAUGUUGUGGGGUGGAAAGCCUUGUGCGGCUAGGGAUGGGCCCGCGGCCUAUCAGCUUGUUGGUGGGGUGAUGGCCACCAAGGCGACGACGGGUAGCCGGCCUGAGAGGGCGACCGGCCACACUGGGACUGAGACACGGCCCAGACUCCUACGGGAGGCAGCAGUGGGGAAUCUUGCGCAAUGGGCGAAAGCCUGACGCAGCGACGCCGCGUGAGGGAUGACGGCCU